UGGGGAAUAUUGGACAAUGGGCGCAAGCCUGAUCCAGCCAUGCCGCGUGUGGGAAGAAGGCCUUCGGGUUGUAAACCACUUUUGUCAGGGAAGAAACGGCCUGAUCUAAUACAUUGGGUUAAUGACGGUACCUGAAGAAUAAGCACCGGCUAACUACGUGCCAGCAGCCGCGGUAAUACGUAGGGUGCGAGCGUUAAUCGGAAUUACUGGGCGUAAAGCGUGCGCAGGCGGCUUUGCAAGACAGAUGUGAAAUCCCCGGGCUCAACCUGGGAACUGCAUUUGUGACUGCAAGGCUAGAGUACGGUAGAGGGGGAUGGAAUUCCGCGUGUAGCAGUGAAAUGCGUAGAUAUGCGGAGGAACACCGAUGGCGAAGGCAGCCUCCUGGGAUAACACUGACGCUCAUGCACGAAAGCGUGGGGAGCAAACAGGAUUAGAUACCCCUGUAGUCCCUGAGCGGGCUGGCAAGGCGCAU
RNAcentral lists this ribosomal RNA (472 nucleotides) under uncultured bacterium. RNAcentral describes it as "bacterial SSU rRNA". It matches the Rfam family "Bacterial small subunit ribosomal RNA", at positions 355 to 825 of the family's 1533-position model. The record is from RNAcentral.